Molecule: ribosomal RNA, 531 nt
Filed under: Melipona marginata
Lineage: Eukaryota; Metazoa; Arthropoda; Insecta; Hymenoptera; Apidae
Description: partial 16S ribosomal RNA
Rfam family: Bacterial large subunit ribosomal RNA (bases 379-531)
Source: RNAcentral
GUCUUAUUGAUAAUAAUUUUAAGUCGAUCUGCCCAAUGAUAAUGAUAUUAAAUGGCUGCAGUAUAAUUGACUGUACAAAGGUAGCAUAAUCAAUUGGUUUUUAAUUGAAAUCUGGAAUGAAAGGAUUAAUGAAAUAUAUACUGUCUCAUAUAUAUAUUAUGAAUUUAAAAUUUUAAUAAAAAUGUUAAAAUUUUUUUAUGGGACGAUAAGACCCUAUAGAAUUUUAUAUAAUUUUAUUUUUGUAAUUAAUAUAAAAUUUAAAUUUAUAUUUAGUUGGGAGAACUAUUAAAUUUAAUAAAUUUUAAUUUUAAUUUACUUUAAUUAAAGGAAAAAAUUUUUGAUCUUUAAUUUAAAAUAAUUAGAAUAAAUUACCUUAGGGAUAACAGCGUUAUAUUUUUUUAUAGAUCUUAUAGAAAAAAAUGAUUGCGACCUCGAUGUUGAAUUAAGAUAAAUUUUAAAUGUAGAAGUUUAAUAAUUAAGUCUGUUCGACUUUUAAAAUCUUACAUGAUUUGAGUUCAAAUCGACGUGAGU